Molecule: transfer RNA, 71 nt
Filed under: Loxodonta africana (African savanna elephant)
Lineage: Eukaryota; Metazoa; Chordata; Mammalia; Proboscidea; Elephantidae
Rfam family: tRNA
About the family: Transfer RNA (tRNA) molecules are approximately 80 nucleotides in length.
Source: Rfam by way of RNAcentral
GCAGUGAUGGUUCAGCAGUAGAAUUCAUGCCUUCCGUGCGGGGGACCUGGGUUCAAUUCCCGGCCAGUGCA